CUUGCGGCCAUAUCACGUUGAAGCAUCGGUUCCCGUACGAUCACCGAAGUUAAGCAACACCGAGCCUGGUCAGUACCUAGAAGGGUGACCUCUUGCGAAUACCAGGUU
Molecule: non-coding RNA, 108 nt
Organism: Acanthosepion pharaonis
Lineage: Eukaryota; Metazoa; Mollusca; Cephalopoda; Sepiida; Sepiidae
Source: the annotation of a GenBank genome assembly